GGAUGAACGCUGGCGGCGUGCCUAACACAUGCAAGUCGAGCGAAGCGCUAUACUUGAAUUCUUCGGAAGGAAAGUAUUGUGACUGAGCGGCGGACGGGUGAGUAACGCGUGGGUAACCUGCCUCAUACAGGGGGAUAACAGUUAGAAAUGACUGCUAAUACCGCAUAAGACCACAGCACCGCAUGGUGCGGGGGUAAAAACUCCGGUGGUAUGAGAUGGACCCGCGUCUGAUUAGCUAGUUGGUAAGGUAAGGGCUUACCAAGGCGACGAUCAGUAGCCGACCUGAGAGGGUGACCGGCCACAUUGGGACUGAGACACGGCCCAAACUCCUACGGGAGGCAGCAGUGGGGAAUAUUGCACAAUGGGGGAAACCCUAAUGCAGCGACGCCGCGUGAGUGAUGAAGUAUUUCGGUAUGUAAAGCUCUAUCAGCAGGGAAGAAAAUGACGGUACCUGACUAAGAAGCACCGGCUAAAUACGUGCCAGCAGCCGCGGUAAUACGUAUGGUG
RNAcentral lists this ribosomal RNA (507 nucleotides) under uncultured bacterium. RNAcentral describes it as "bacterial SSU rRNA". It matches the Rfam family "Bacterial small subunit ribosomal RNA", at positions 27 to 534 of the family's 1533-position model. The record is from RNAcentral.